RNAcentral lists this ribosomal RNA (497 nucleotides) under uncultured bacterium. RNAcentral describes it as "partial 16S ribosomal RNA". It matches the Rfam family "Bacterial small subunit ribosomal RNA", at positions 28 to 507 of the family's 1533-position model. The record is from RNAcentral.
GAUGAACGCUGGCGGCGUGCCUAACACAUGCAAGUCGAGCGGACAGACGCUGAUCUCGCGCUACUGACGUUAGCGACGGGCGGGUGAGUAACGCGUGGAUAGCCUUCCUCUUAGACUUGGGUAACUGCGAGAGGCCGGAGCUACUACCAGAUAAUAUAUUGAACGGCAUGGUUCAAUAGUUAUUUACGUUUUUGCUGUCCCUGAGAGCUGUCUCCGCGUCGGUUGGGCUAGGUGGUAGGGUAACGGCUUACCAAGGCCGCGAUGCGUGGCCGACCUGAGAGCGUGAUCAGCCACACUGGAACUGAGACACGGUCCAGACUCCUACGGGAGGCAGCAGUAGGGAAUGUUGGGAGAUGGGCGAAAGCCUGAACGAGCGACGCAGCGUGGGUGAUGAAGGUCUUCGGGUCGUAAAACUCUGUUAUUGGGGAAGAACAAAUGCGUAAGUAACUAAGCACGUUUUGACGGUACCUAAAGAAAAAGCACCGGCUAACUACGUG